RNAcentral lists this ribosomal RNA (630 nucleotides) under uncultured crenarchaeote. RNAcentral describes it as "bacterial SSU rRNA". It matches the Rfam family "Archaeal small subunit ribosomal RNA", at positions 100 to 713 of the family's 1478-position model. The record is from RNAcentral. Lineage: Archaea; Thermoproteati; Thermoproteota.
GUAGUCAACCUGCCCUGGAGACAAGGACAACCCCGGGAAACUGGGAUUAAUCCGUGAUAGGUCAUCUCAUCUGGAAGGAGAGAUGGCUUAAAGGGGUACACGGGCUUUUUCCGCGAAUUUGCUCCAGGAUGGGACUGCGUCCGAUCAGGCUGUUGGCGGGGUAAUGGCCCACCAAACCUGUAACCGGUACGGGCCUUGAGAGAGGUGGCCCGGAGAUGGACACUGAGAGAAGGGUCCAGGUCCUACGGGGCGCAGCAGGCGCGAAACCUUCGCAAUGCGCGAAAGCGUGACGAGGUUAAUCCGAGUGACUCCCGCUGAGGGGGUCUUUUGUCAGCUGUAAAUAGGCAGGCGAAUAAGGGGAGGGCAAGCCUGGUGUCAGCCGCCGCGGUAAUACCAGCUCCUCGAGUGGUCGGGGCGAUUAUUGGGCCUAAAGCAUCCGUAGCCGGUUCCGUAGGUCCUCUGUUAAAUCCAACCGCUUAACGGUUGACCUGCAGAGGAUACCGCGGGACUAGGAGGCGGGAGAGGCGGACGGUACUCCGCGUGUAGGGGUAAAAUCCUUUGAUCCGCGGAAGACCACCAGUGGCGAAGGCGGUCCGCCAGAACGCGCUCGACGGUGAGGGAUGAAAGCUG